AGCAAAUCUUUUUCAUGUAAAACAUGCUCGUGGUAAAAUCGUACGGUACGGAUUUUAUGAAACUAUGAUCUAUGGCUCAAAUCUGUAGUCAAUCCUUUUUCUGAUAGGAGCAGUUGACAAUUGAAUCCAAAAUUUCCCAUUAUUUUUGUGUCCAUAAUAGUGCCAAAAAAGGCACUGCUCCAAGUUGUUAGGGAAUAGUGGCAAUGAGUUUCUCGACCCUUUGCCUUAGGAUUAGUCAGUUAUAUUUCUCGAUGGGGUGAGGAAGGGAUAUAACUCAGCGGUAGAGUGUCACCUUGACAGUGUGGAAAUCAUAAGUUCAAGCCUGAUUAUCCCUAAAUCCAAUGUGUGUUUUUCUAUUUUGACUUGCUCCCGGAACUUCUUUUCCCGGAAAAGAAGCAAUGACGGUAUCUGAGGAAUAAGCAUCGACUAACUCCGUGCCAGCAGUCACGCUAAGACAGAGGAUGCAAGCGUUAUCUGGAAUGAUUGGGCGUAAAACAUGUGUAGGUGGCUUUUCAUGUCCGCUGUCAAAUCCCAGUGCUCAAUCCUGGACAAGCGGUGGAAACUGCCAAGCUAGAGUAUGGUAGGAGCAGAGGGAAUUUCCAGUGGAGCGGUGAAAUGCAUUGAGAUCGGAAAGAACACCAUGGCGAAAACACUCUGCUGGGCCAACACUGACACUGAGAGAUAAAAGAUAGGGGAGCGAAUGGGAUUAGAUACCUCAGUAGUCCUAGCCAUAAAUGAUGGAUACUAGGCUUUGUGCAUAUUGACCCAUGCAAUAUUGUAGCUAACGCGUUAUGUAUCCCGCUUGGGGAGUACAUUCGCAAGAAUGAAACUCAAAGGAAUUGACGGGUAUCGAACAAGCAGUGGAACAUGUGGUUUAAUUCGAUGCAAAGCAAAGAACCUUCCCUUGGCUUGACAUGUCGCGAGUCCUCUUGAAAGAGAGGAGUGCCUUCAGGAAUGCGGAUACAGGCGAUGCAUAGCUGUCGUCAGCUCGUGCCGUAAGGUGUUGUGUUAAGUCUUGCAACGAGCGCAACCCUCGUAUUUAGUUUCCACCGUUGAGUUUGGAACCCUGAACAAACUAUCAGUGAUAAGCUGGAGAAAGGUGAGGUUGACGUCAAGUCAUCAUGCCCCUUAUGCCCUAGGCAACACAUGGGCUACAAUGGCCAGAACACCCGCGAGGGUGAGCUAACCCCAAAAACUCGUCCUCAUUUCAUAUUGCAGGCUGCAACUUGCCUACAUGAUGUCGGAAUCGCUAGUAAUCGCCGGUCAACCAAAUGGUGGUGAAUUCGUUCCUGGGCCUUAUACACACCGCCCGUCACACUAUGAGUUUUGGCCAUGCUUGAAGUCGUUACCAACCGCAAGGAGGGGAUGCCAAAGGCAUGGCUAGUAAUUGGAGUGAAGUCGUAACAAGGUAGCCGUACUGGAAGGUGCGGCUG
Molecule: ribosomal RNA, 1433 nt
Filed under: Berberis thunbergii
Lineage: Eukaryota; Viridiplantae; Streptophyta; Magnoliopsida; Ranunculales; Berberidaceae
Description: bacterial SSU rRNA
Rfam family: Bacterial small subunit ribosomal RNA (bases 299-1433)
Source: RNAcentral